This 1868-nucleotide unclassified non-coding RNA is filed under the name Hevea brasiliensis (rubber tree). The record is from RNAcentral. Lineage: Eukaryota; Viridiplantae; Streptophyta; Magnoliopsida; Malpighiales; Euphorbiaceae.
UGGAACCCCAUUCUCCAUUUUCUGCCUCAAACCAUGUCCUUGAAUGCACAGCGCCCUCGUGUUACAGUCAAUGGUAUCCGAAGAAUGAGAACAUUCCAUUACUUCUGGUGCCAAACUUGCCGACGAACCUCAAGGUUCUCAACCAUAAACUCAAAUGAAAACCUCUGUCCUCAUUGCUUUAGUGUGCUAAAUCAUGAGCUUGACAUAUCGAGGCCCAGGCUUGUCCCUGACCUCACCGAGCUCGAACCCUCUCCGGCUUCACGGUUGUUGGACUCGUUAGCACUAAUGCUUCAUCCUUCAAUAAGGAGGCAAUAUCCUGAAUUUGAUAGAAGAAUUCGUUGGGAAUCCGAAGGUGCCAAUGCACCUUGGAUUACACUUCAGUUUCUUGAACCUCCUCGCCCGGAAAGACUGCCCAUGACUUCGCCGCCGCCGGCUCAAAUGGUUGCUCCUGGCGGUGUUGCUCCUGCUGCUAAUAAUGGAAGAAAUGAGAACUUUGCUAAUGCAGGCUAUGCAGCUAACUUGUUUGCUCCGGAGAUGACUGAUAUUGACAGGCCUGGCCCUCCUCCAGCGUCAGCUUCAGCUAUUGAGACACUGCCGAUAGUGAAGAUUACACAAGAACAUUUGAUGAAGGACACGCAUUGUCCAGUGUGCAAGGACGAAUUUGAGGUUGCUGUGGAAGUGAGGGAGCUUCCCUGCAAGCAUUUGUACCAUUCUGAUUGUAUUGUUCCUUGGUUGAACAUGCACAAUUCUUGCCCAGUUUGCCGGCACCCUCUGUAUGAUGGUUUUGAAGAUCAUCUCCAGCAAGAAAAUGGUCAAUCUUUUGGGUUUGAAGAGGUGGUAAAUAGCAUGAAUUGGAUGAGGAACCAGUUCCUUUCUCUAUGGCCUGUACGUGCAUUUUCAGAUUGGACUCAGAGAUAUCUUGAUUUCUUGGAUAACAGGGUUGAAUCUUCCAGGGGAGCAAGUUCCUGGUGGCGUUCUUUCUUCGUUUUAUGACUCUGCAUCUCAAUCGCUCUUUAUGCUGGAAAAGCUGUAUAUAUUAUUGGCCUUACAAUUGAAUCAUUUCUUAAUUAGGCAGGUAUAUCUAACUUAUUCUAUAAUUUUCAAGAUUGCAAAGAUGAAAGGAUAUUGAAGCUUAACAGGUAUGCUUUCCAUUUACUUCUCUUGUGCGAUUGAUGUCCUUAAAAUACAUUAGCUUUAAGACUUAAUCCAACUGUUAUUUGUCACUUAGCAGGUGCUAAAAUGACUAAAUUGAAAAGGAAAAGAAAAUGUCCAGUAUUGGUUUCUGCAGCUUUCAGGAUUCUCUUCUCUGGAAUGUACAUAUAUAGAUGAAACGUGAUAAUAAUUAAUUAAUAAACAUUGGGGUUGUGAAGAAAAUGUAUACUGAUCCUCAACUAGUCCAUGAAAAUUUAGUAAUUUCUUGAGAACUUGGUACUUUGGAGUCAGUCCUACACAAGACAAAUUUAGUUCAAUACUAGCAUAGAACAAAACCAGAAGAUUGUUCCUCCACAAUCUAUUGUCUCAAGUCUACCAAACCUGAAACCCCAUUGCGACCACCUGAGCUAAGCCUAAAUGGUCUCAAAUGUUACGUAAAAUAUUUUCAUUCUGCAAUUAUUUUUUACAGAGCUCUUCAGGGAGAAGGAAGCAUUGAACUGUUCCAGAAGACUUCUGCAUGGAGAAGGAAGCAUUGUACUAUUAGAUUCUUGAUAUAAUGAAGGCUACUACAGAUUUCAGAAAUGCAUUCUGAUUUGGAGAGGAUGAUUUGAUUUAUAUUUAAAUACAAUUCUGCAGACAUUGUAACAAUCCAAGAAUUAUAAAUUCUAUGUUAUACAAUCCAUACAAUCCAAUAUUUGAUUAGAGGAAUACUAAAU